AAAUCGGUGUUUUUCAACACCACCAAUGAACGCCAGGAGGCUUCAG
Molecule: non-coding RNA, 46 nt
Organism: Gonium pectorale
Lineage: Eukaryota; Viridiplantae; Chlorophyta; Chlorophyceae; Chlamydomonadales; Volvocaceae
Source: Rfam